Molecule: ribosomal RNA, 285 nt
Filed under: uncultured soil bacterium
Lineage: Bacteria
Description: partial 16S ribosomal RNA
Rfam family: Bacterial small subunit ribosomal RNA
Source: RNAcentral
GGAACGAACGCUGGCGGCAUGCCUAAUACAUGCAAGUCGAACGAAGGCUUCGGCCUUAGUGGCGCACGGGUGCGUAACGCGUGGGAAUCUGCCCCUUGGUUCGGAAUAACAGUUGGAAACGACUGCUAAUACCGGAUGAUGACGAAAGUCCAAAGAUUUAUCGCCAAGGGAUGAGCCCGCGUAGGAUUAGCUAGUUGGUGAGGUAAAGGCUCACCAAGGCGACGAUCCUUAGCUGGUCUGAGAGGAUGAUCAGCCACACGUGGGACUGAGACACGGCCCAGACCU